This 497-nucleotide ribosomal RNA is filed under the name uncultured bacterium. Its description in RNAcentral is "partial 16S ribosomal RNA". It matches the Rfam family "Bacterial small subunit ribosomal RNA", at positions 28 to 507 of the family's 1533-position model. The record is from RNAcentral.
GAUGAACGCUGGCGGCGUGCCUAAUACAUGCAAGUCGAGCGAACAGACGAGGAGCUUGCUCCUCUGACGUUAGCGGCGGACGGGUGAGUAACACGUGGAUAACCUACCUAUAAGACUGGGAUAACUUCGGGAAACCGGAGCUACUACCGGAUAAUAUAUUGAACCGCAUGGUUCAAUAGUGAAAGACGGUUUUGCUGUCACUUAUAGAUGGAUCCGCGCCGCAUUAGCUAGUUGGUAGGGUAACGGCUUACCAAGGCAACGAUGCGUAGCCGACCUGAGAGGGUGAUCGGCCACACUGGAACUGAGACACGGUCCAGACUCCUACGGGAGGCAGCAGUAGGGAAUCUUCCGCAAUGGGCGAAAGCCUGACGGAGCAACGCCGCGUGAGUGAUGAAGGUCUUCGGAUCGUAAAACUCUGUUAUUAGGGAAGAACAAAUGUGUAAGUAACUAUGCACGUCUUGACGGUACCUAAUCAGAAAGCCACGGCUAACUACGUG